UAAAUUGUUCAUUAAUUGUGAACUAGAAUGAAGGAAAAAAUGGUUUAAAUCUGUCUUAAAAUUUAUAUAUUGAAAUUCACUUUUUUGUUAAAAUGCAAAAAUUUAAUUUAGGGACAAGAAGACCCUAUAAAGCUUUAUUAUUUCUUAAUAAUAUAUUCUAUUAAUUAUAUAAUUUUGUUGGGGCAAUGAUUUAUAUAUAAUCAAUAUAAAUUAAAAUAUUAUAUUAAUUUAUAAUUUAAAGAUCCAUUAAUAAUGAAAAAUGUUUAAGUUACUUUAGGGAUAACAGGAUAAUAUUUAUUAGAAAGUUCUUAUUAAUAAUAAAGUUUAUUACCUCGAUGUUGAAUUAAUUUAAUGAAAUGGUGAAGCAACUAUUUAGGUUUGACUGUUCGUCAAUUAGAUAAUUACAUGAUCUGAGUUC
Molecule: ribosomal RNA, 418 nt
Filed under: Aoraki denticulata
Lineage: Eukaryota; Metazoa; Arthropoda; Arachnida; Opiliones; Pettalidae
Description: partial 16S ribosomal RNA
Rfam family: Bacterial large subunit ribosomal RNA (bases 279-418)
Source: RNAcentral